Molecule: ribosomal RNA, 1411 nt
Filed under: human gut metagenome
Description: bacterial SSU rRNA
Rfam family: Bacterial small subunit ribosomal RNA
Source: RNAcentral
AGAGUUUGAUCCUGGCUCAGGACGAACGCUGGCGGCGUGCCUAAUACAUGCAAGUCGAGCGAAUUGAUUAAGAAGCUUGCUUCUUAUGACGUUAGCGGCGGACGGGUGAGUAACACGUGGGCAACCUGCCCUAUAGUUGGGGAUAACUCCGGGAAACCGGGGCUAAUACCGAAUGAUACAUUUUAACUCCUGUUAGAAUGUUGAAAGAUGGUUUACGCUAUCGCUAUAGGAUGGGCCCGCGGCGCAUUAGCUAGUUGGUGAGGUAACGGCUCACCAAGGCGACGAUGCGUAGCCGACCUGAGAGGGUGAUCGGCCACACUGGGACUGAGACACGGCCCAAACUCCUACGGGAGGCUGCAGUAGGGAAUCUUCCACAAUGGACGCAAGUCUGAUGGAGCAACGCCGCGUGAGUGAAGAAGGCUUUCGGGUCGUAAAACUCUGUUGUUGGAGAAGAACAAGGACGUUAGUACAGUUAGAAGGAUUGACGGUACCGGAAUAGAAAGCCACGGCUAACUACGUGCCAGCAGCCGCGGUAAUACGUAGGUGGCAAGCGUUGUCCGGAAUUAUUGGGCGUAAAGCGCACGCAGGCGGUCUGUCAAGUCGGAUGUGAAAUCCCCGGGCUCAACCUGGGAACUGCAUUCGAAACUGGCAGGCUAGAGUCUCGUAGAGGGGGGUAGAAUUCCAGGUGUAGCGGUGAAAUGCGUAGAGAUCUGGAGGAAUACCGGUGGCGAAGGCGGCCCCCUGGACGAAGACUGACGCUCAGGUGCGAAAGCGUGGGGAGCAAACAGGAUUAGAUACCCUGGUAGUCCACGCCGUAAACGAUGUCGACUUGGAGGUUGUGCCCUUGAGGCGUGGCUUCCGGAGCUAACGCGUUAAGUCGACCGCCUGGGGAGUACGGCCGCAAGGUUAAAACUCAAAUGAAUUGACGGGGGCCCGCACAAGCGGUGGAGCAUGUGGUUUAAUUCGAUGCAACGCGAAGAACCUUACCUGGUCUUGACAUCCACGGAAGUUUUCAGAGAUGAGAAUGUGCCUUCGGGAACCGUGAGACAGGUGCUGCAUGGCUGUCGUCAGCUCGUGUUGUGAAAUGUUGGGUUAAGUCCCGCAACGAGCGCAACCCUUAUCCUUUGUUGCCAGCGGUCCGGCCGGGAACUCAAAGGAGACUGCCAGUGAUAAACUGGAGGAAGGUGGGGAUGACGUCAAGUCAUCAUGGCCCUUACGACCAGGGCUACACACGUGCUACAAUGGCGCAUACAAAGAGAAGCGACCUCGCGAGAGCAAGCGGACCUCAUAAAGUGCGUCGUAGUCCGGAUUGGAGUCUGCAACUCGACUCCAUGAAGUCGGAAUCGCUAGUAAUCGUGGAUCAGAAUGCCACGGUGAAUACGUUCCCGGGCCUUGCACACACCGCCCGUCA